AUUGAACGCUGGCGGCAGGCCUAACACAUGCAAGUCGAACGGUAACAGGAAGCAGCUUGCUGCUUCGCUGACGAGUGGCGGACGGGUGAGUAAUGUCUGGGAAGCUGCCUGAUGGAGGGGGAUAACUACUGGAAACGGUAGCUAAUACCGCAUAAUGUCGCAAGACCAAAGAGGGGGACCUUCGGGCCUCUUGCCAUCGGAUGUGCCCAGAUGGGAUUAGCUUGUUGGUGGGGUAACGGCUCACCAAGGCGACGAUCCCUAGCUGGUCUGAGAGGAUGACCAGCCACACUGGAACUGAGACACGGUCCAGACUCCUACGGGAGGCAGCAGUGGGGAAUAUUGCACAAUGGGCGCAAGCCUGAUGCAGCCGUGCCGCGUGUAUGAAGAAGGCCUUCGGGUUGUAAAGUACUUUCAGCGGGGAGGAAGGGAGUAAAGUUAAUACCUUUGCUCAUUGACGUUACCCGCAGAAGAAGCACCGGCUAACUCCGUG
RNAcentral lists this ribosomal RNA (490 nucleotides) under uncultured bacterium. Its description in RNAcentral is "partial 16S ribosomal RNA". It matches the Rfam family "Bacterial small subunit ribosomal RNA", at positions 30 to 507 of the family's 1533-position model. The record is from RNAcentral.